UACGUAGGGGGCAAGCGUUGUCCGGAUUUAUUGGGCGUAAAGAGCGUGUAGGCGGCCAAGCAGGUCCGCUGUGAAAACUCGAGGCUCAACCUCGAGACGUCGGUGGAAACCGUUUGGCUAGAGUCCGGAAGAGGAGAGUGGAAUUCCCGGUGUAGCGGUGAAAUGCGCAGAUAUCGGGAAGAACACCCGUGGCGAAGGCGACUCUCUGGGACGGUACUGACGCUGAGACGCGAAAGCGUGGGGAGCGAACAGG
Molecule: ribosomal RNA, 253 nt
Filed under: uncultured bacterium
Lineage: Bacteria
Description: partial 16S ribosomal RNA
Rfam family: Bacterial small subunit ribosomal RNA
Source: RNAcentral